Drosophila melanogaster (fruit fly) is the source of this 6258-nucleotide non-coding RNA. Lineage: Eukaryota; Metazoa; Arthropoda; Insecta; Diptera; Drosophilidae. The record is from Ensembl.
UCGAGUUUAACUCCAUCUCCCAAGAAGCCUGCAUAGCCGCCAAAAAACGGAAACGGAAAAAAAAUACUACGGCAAAUUUCUAGUUAAAGAGUAUUUCUAUCUCAGCAAGUCGAAAUUCCUUGAGUUUCUAAGCGACGGCAAUUGGCUGAGGCAAAAAUUUGUGACGUGAGUCCGAGCCCCGCGCUUAUCAAGAAACAUCAUCCUAUCAGGAUUCUGAGUUCUAAGCUUCAAUAUCAAAGCCAACACAACCAUUUCACCGCUCCAUCAGUCAGUUCGCUUGGGUCGAACGUACUGUAAGUAAAACACCAUGAGUUCGCCGAUGAAAACACAGGUCGUACGAUCUCAAACGCAAGGAUACAAAAAUGAUCUCUUGAAGCGGUACAAGUCAACGAAACCAUGCCCUAAUAGGGCCAAAUAUCAAAACAUAAAAAAAUAAUGUCAUCAUCCGCUAAUUACAGCAAUCAAUUGAUAUGUAACCAAAUGUAGGGCCACUAAGUAUGCCGAUAGUCAAUGUAUUAGCCAUAUCUUUUAGCAUUUAGUAAACUUUACUUAAACCAUCACAAACCAGGGACAAUGCAUCUAAAUAGGCAAUUUAGUUCUUAAGAUCAACUACAAUUAAAUAACAUUCACUGUAAGACUCGGAAUCCGAACAAUUAGGGCUCAAAGAAAGACAACCAAUUGAUAUCGCUCGCACUUAAAGUUUUCAUAAGUCUCGCUGCAAGAGCUAAACAUUGGCACGAUCCGCUUGAUCCGGGGCUUGUGAUCCGCUCUAAACGCUUCGAUUCCAACAAAAUUAUCCGGGAAAUCUAUAAGAUAUGGGUGUCCGAACUUGUUGAUCGCGUGCGUGGAAAAACUGCAUUAAAAUGGAGGCCAGGGUCCGGACCUUUGCCGUAACCGGGUACUACGAGCCGUGCGUCAAGCGGCAGUCGCCCCUCGCGUCGGUUGGGCGGGUGGUGGGUAACGAUUUACCGUUACACGUUGGGAAUGCGUUCGCAAAUAAAAAAUCGCGAUUUUGAUAAGGCUUACAAACGAAAAUUAUUUAACUUUUAUGUAAAGUUUUUUUGUAUCUUCCUAUAUAUUUAUGUCAACUUUUAAAGCAUUAUGCAUGUUACUUAUUGGUUGAAAGUGCAAAGGUUUUUAAUAUACAAAGAAAUCACCUGGUACAAUUAUUUAAUAUGCACGUUGAUUUUACUAAUAUUUAUAUAUAUCUUUAUAUAUCAUUAUAUUAUUAAAUAGCCUUAAAUCGUAGAACAUAACAGGCAUUUUAGGUUAGGAUCGAUAUCUCUAUGAUUGCAAAAGUAUUAAUCCUAUGUGGAGUAUAUAGUCCUUAGAAGAUAACCUAGAGAAAUGGUCUUCUAUCAUUGUAAGCUUAUUAGGUUGUAGUUAAAGAGAGUUGAUUAGAUAUUUUCGUAAAACAAGUUCACAGUUCUUAAAAAUAUUCAAGAGAAUUCCUAGGACGCCUGCUGGCAUAGCCAAUCCUUCCCUUUCCCAGAUGCAAACCUUGUUAACGCUUCUGGCGACGUCAACGGCGUCCACCCAAGAAAUGCAUAUUUAGUCAAGUGUUAAUAAUGUGGCUGCCACCGAGGGAUCGUCCCUUCGGCAGGAUGAGUUUUCCAGCCCGACUUUUGGGUUCUGGUUAGGCGGGAAAGGUGCAAGCGUGCGUUAAGCCAAGGAGCUCACGCAAGGCAAACAAAUACGGGGAGACACAAACAAAUGGGACAAAGGGAUAAAAAAUACAAAACAAAGGAAAAGUGAAGAAAAAUAAAAGGAAAAACUUGCCUGUCCGAACGGCCUCGCUGCCAGGGUCGCGAAUUAUAUUUCAUUGAGUUGUUCUGUCGCCUGUGGAUGUGGGAGAAAACAUAAAUAAAAAAUUAAAAUCAAAAGAAUGCAGAAAGAAGCAAACGAAAUGCAUAACUAAACGAGGAAUAGAGGUUACAAGUUGGGGAUGCUGUUAAUUUUUUUUUUUAUUCAAAAUGUGCCCUUCUCGGGAUUUUAAGAAAGUUGCGACGUUUAUUUAUUUCCGCAUUGCCGUGGUCCUUUCUUUACAUUUCCCUUCACUGUCUUGGGAUUUCUUUUGUUAUCAGUUUUUCGAGGAGUGGUAAUGUUGAUUUUUAUGCUUACGGCCUGCAUUUGAGUUGAUAAUGAAGGCAGACAUUAUAAAUACACCCCCUGUCCAUUUUCCGCACGGAUUUUAAUUUAGUGGUCUAUAAUUAAAAGCAUUGCGUUGGGGGCGAUGUCAGGUGGCCAAUUUGCACACAAUAAAGAAACGAGAAAAGGAAAGUCACUGUCAUUGGAAAUCCCGCAGAUACAAUUUACCUUUCUACGUCACGUAGUUUCAACGUCAAUUGCCCAGUUCGCCGCGGCUAUUUGGUGGAAUGGAUGAUGGGUCCUGAACAUUGAACGCACUCACACGGAAAUUACAAUGACAGGCAGUUCGCAGUCAGGGGCGUAGACACAAAGGGGGUUUUUUACGCGGAAAGUCGAUUUCGAUUUUUCGAUUUUUAAAAAUGGAAUUACUAUAACUGAAAAAAUAAGUUUACUAUAAGUAUUUUUGUGCAUGAGCCCCUUUUGUAAAAAAAAACUGGCAGGACUAAAAGUAUCUCGUGGAUAGCCUGCCGCAGGCAAUUGGCCACCCACUUGAAAAUUUAUGUGUUAAUUUUAAGGUGCCUAACGAGAGGAGGAAGUGGGCAACUUCUGGAGGUAUUUUCGCCUUUAUACAUUUCUUUUUUUCCGCCUUUUUGUAUUGGGCAGCAUUUUUCACAAAGUUUUUGCAGGUGCUGCCAGGGUCAGGCGCCUUUUUUGUGUGUAAUAAAUGAGCUAAUAAUAAGUGAAAUGUGCUUUUGAGUGACCCUAAACAAUUGCCCCGAAGAGAAAAUGGUCGAGGAAGCAAAAUUGAGGAGAAAAGGAAAAUCCCGUAAAAAUUGCUGUGAAAUUUCGGUUGGGCAGCCAAAAAAUGCGGCAAAGUGUCGGAAAUUCCUUUGGCGACAUGAAAAGAUUUGUUUAUAAUUAAUUUUCACCUCGCCAGCAUUUCCAGUUUUUUCCAUUUGUUUUAAGCUAGAAAAUUUUGUUAUCGCCAAAGUUCGAAACAUGUGUCGCCGAAGCUUAUUAAUUACACGAAUUCCUUUGGUCAGCAUUUUUUUUUUUUGGUAUAUUGGGAAAGAGCAAUUUGCAAAAGACUUUAAUAUAGCAUACCUAUUAGGGUAACGCCAAAAAAUGAUCAGUACAGAGCAUGUUAUAAUUCGAGUUUAAAACACACUAAAUGAAUAGCAGCUAUUUUAUUUUAAAUAUUUACUAUUUCAACCGAACUAUGAUGAUUUCGCCGUUUGUUGCCCAUUUAUAGCCCUGUUCAUAUUAGUGAAAUAUGCACCUCAGUUUCGACAUUUACGAGUGGUUCAAUGUGUUGACUGCUUUUGAGGAAAGUUGGAGAACACCAAGAGGAAAAUAACAAAAACCACAAAAGACAAGUGUUGAUGUGUCGAAGGGGAACAAUAUGCAAAAAAAAAAAAAAAUCAUCAGGAAUGUAAAAAACAGUGGCAGAAAAAUGAGAAAAACGAGGUGGAGAAAGAAUUUGUAUCCGCUUGUUGCAAAUUCCAAUCAAUUUUUGUUGUUCUUACGGACGAGAUGAGGGCGACUCAUUUGCCGGAAAAUUGAGUAGACAUGCAUAUCCGCAGACGAACGGAAAUGGUCAAGAUGCAGCUUUCGAACAGGGCCAUCAAUUAGACUUUUUUCGGCAUUUGCUGCUCCGCUGUGGGUCCUUUGUCUUGGGCGAUGGAGUUCGGCCUGUUUGGUUAACAAGAUGGAGCUGACAGAGCCGCAGGUUAUGGCUAAGGACCAACGUCAUUGAGACAAGCUGGUUGGCCCAGCAAACAGACAAACAAACCGAGUCCCUUUCUCCUCAAAAUUUCCUUGUUUGGCAACUUUUGCGGCCAAAAUGGAAUUUUGCGUUUGCCUAACUGGCAAAAAAUUGCCCAAAUAGUUGGGUGGUGGUGGUAAGGAUGUUCCGGUGUACUGUUCCUUCUCCAUAUGGCAUGUUUUGAUGUGUGGCAAAGUCUGCUGUGAAUUGGAAAUCGAAGUUAAUAUGCUCCGCAGACUGUGAAACAAAUCAUUUUCAAGUUGUUAAAGGAAAUCGACACGUUUUUGCCAUUUUAUAUUUAUUACGGGCGCUUUUUUUCCCGUUUGCCAGCAGAUGUUGCCAAAAGUGUCAGGGUGCGAGAUGGGUGCUAAAUGCCAAUAAACCUAAUAUUUUUGAUGAUAUUUCUUAGGAUAAUGUCGAAUGGUUCGAUAUUAUAAAAAUAUACAAAUAUCAGUUUAUUUAAAUCUAAAUCUGCUAAAUUAGGUUCUUUUUUGAGAACCUCUUUGAUUUAAUAACCUACCCCAAUUUGUAUCAAAUCUAAUCACAAUAACAAAUUACCAAUAUCUUCGCAAUUUUACAAUGCAUUCACUACUUUAAGGAUCUGUCACACAUUCCUUGAUGGCAACUUCAAAGCUGCUGAAUACAGCCACUUGAAUAUGCAAAACAAGAUGAACAAAAUCGUUUACGUUAGCUAUUUAACGGGGCGUUAGGGCGGCUGAAAAAAUCCCCGUACUCAACACAUUAUAUUUAUGCAACUUGAAAGAAGUUGGGGGGCGUCAUAAAAUUAGUAAGCACGUGAGUGGCCCUGCCUUCAUUAUCAUAACAGAAAAUCAUGCAAAAUAUAGGGAUUCAGCGGAGGUUGGCAGUUUUCUGUGAGGUUUUAUACCCACAUUUACAAGUCGUAGUAAGAGCGUUUUAGAAUUCUACAUUUUUUUAAACAUUCAAAUGUCAGCAAUGCAACUUAUUAUAAUAUAAUAAUAAUAAUAAUAAUAAUAAUAAUGCGGUAGAAUAUUUGAACUUUUAAUGAAUCAGCACUUGCAAUGCAAGUCUAUAUUUUUUACAUGAAAAAGAUUUUAUAACCUUUAUAGAAUGUCGGUCACGCAUAAGCAUGAUGUCUUCAUUCGCACCCUAAUCCACUAAACUUGAAAUAUUCUGUCAUCAAUGCAAACAAAAUUGUAUUAGAGUUGACGGUCAUUCGGAGGACUUACUCACCGGUUUUUGGAACUCGGACUAUGAGAACAGGUGGCCGAGUGUCCUGAUCCACUGGCGGUGGAACUUUUUGCCGGCUGACUAGCCGAGUCCCUGCCGGUGUCUGGCGGAGCUCCUCCUCCUGAUUCUCCCCGUUGCUGCUGUGGUGCACUCAUAACUCGGAGUGGUUAGCAAUAUAAUGACAAUUCUAUUCCAUUAGGAAUAUGUUUACAAAAUUUAAGGCAUGUGCGAAUCACAAUUGGCCAGUGGACCGCGUUUGUACUGUUGAGGUGCAUUAAAUCGUACGUUUUCAAAUCGACAAAGUUCCCUGAGAACAUUACUGCAUUCUGGUUUUGUUUUUGCCCAAAAUAUUUCACAGCAAACAAAUUAAUUCCGAAAUAAAUCAAAUUAAAUCCAGAACGUUUAUACAAUUUACGAAAGAGCGACACGAACAGCUGACUUGUUAUCGAUUGCGAAACGUAAAAGGCAUAGGGUUUCGGCGCUGCCACCUCGUUUCAAAAUCUGGCGGCAGUUCAAACUGGCAGAUGUGACUGUGACUGCUGGGUAUGCACAAUGAUACCCUACAAUUAUUACGUUUUAGGUGAACGGUCUUAAAAACGAUUAAGUAAAUAUAUAUAUUUGAGAAUUAAUUUAUCAUUCUACCAUUAAUGUAAUCCAUAUACGACUUUUAUAAUCAAAAUAAUUAAAAUAUUUACUUAGUUCAGCAAAUAUAAAAAAUUUUCCAUAUUUUUAUAACUGAACAAUCAAAAUUUAAAAAUUUUAAGGUUUUAAGAAGUCUAUUAAAUAAUCAAUGUGCACGACGAUUUCGUUUGUUCGCUUGUAUUGUCUCGAAUUUAUGCUAAUGUGUUGACGCUUAUAUUCGUAAAAAUUUUCAUUUGCUGAGCAUCUUGUGUUUACUUUACGCGUCGAUUUUUCAUUUUGUUUUAUUUGUGCUCGUUCGAGGGUUCUUUUUGGGCCCUCUUUUACAUUUCCAUAAUUAUAUGCAUCAGCUGGCAGGUGACUGAAUGCAGAAGCAAAAGGACGAGUCGCAAGAAAGAAUGAAUCCCGGAAAACAAUAAAAAGAAGGACUGGCGAGAACAAUUUGUGCGGAGUCUGUACUUUCGUUAUCUGAAUGGCAGAAUAAAACCAACAUCAAACUGUAAAUAUUGACAUUUUUGAAUUAUAAUCAAAGUGAAUAAAUAAUAAAGCGAAACAAG